CUUUUGUUACAGUGGUGAGGUGACUGGAUCCAAACACCUUUUUCCUUAAUCCAGCAGAUCUAAGCAGGUACUAUUCAUUUUAUAUAUAGAUGGACCUGUGGGCGGUAAGCUGGGAAUUAUCCACGGGUCUAGUGGACGUGAAUCGAUACUGCACCUCUCGGGUUAGGAGUUCACUGGCUUUCUGCAUCUUCCAAGGUGGUGGUGUGACCGUGUGGUCAUUCUUGGAAUUGCGAGCACAACACAAUAAAUGAAGAGUUUUGUGUUAAGGGAAGAAUUUCCCCAAAAGCAUCUGGUCAUGAAUUUUCUCCCUAUACCAAUCUAAAUUCCACCGCAAUCCUCUUCAUCAUCUAUAUAAAAACUUUUACCUUCCGAAAACACUACAGACGGAGGGAAAGGCUUUUAUCAAAGUCGACCUCCAACUUCCCUUGGGGCGAAAAGGUGUCGAGGCGUCGCGGAAGGCGGAUUAAGAACGGCCACUAAAAAAGGAAAAAGAAAGGGCAAAUGGAAUAGCACGGAUGCGGAAAAGAUACAUUGACAGGGGAACAUACAGGAAAGCAGUAAUCCCAAGAAAAGAGAAAAGGGGAUUUCCCGGGACCUAAUCUUCGCGUUUGUUCACAUGGAAGAUCCGCCUGUGGUCUGGCAAUAAGAAAAAGGGGUGCAAGCAAGGCUCGAGUCUCCGUCUCUCAGUGAUGAAAGUGAAGGAUAGAAAAUAGUAGAAAUGCAGAGAGAGAGAGAGAGAGAGAGAGAGAGAGAGAGAGAGAGAGAGAGAGAUCCUGAGUAUUUCAAAAGCAAAUGUCUGUUUUCUAACUGAUACGUUUAUAUGCAUAUUCUUUUGAUUUUCAAACUUGACUCGUUAAGGGAAAUGAGAAACGUGAAUAUGAAAGACUCGAAUUCAUAGAACUUUGGGCCCUAGAAUAAUUUACAGAGGUUCAUGUUUGCGUGGUUGCAGUGGUCCGCGAUAGGAUCAUCAGCCUGUAUCAAUAAGUUCCCGGUAUAAGUAGCUUCGAUGGAAAUAACAUUCGUCAUUACGCGUUACUUGACGUCUAUUGACAACUUAAUUAUACGGAAUUUCGCAUCCCUUAGGAUUUCGUUCAAAUCAAUGUUAAGACAGAGAGGACACGAAGGAAAUGAGAGGAAAGUUCCAUUUCCUCCAAUAUCAGCUGUUGGCAUUUCAGCUGAAUCCUCCAACCUCGUCCUACGAAGAGGGGACAUUUGCUUUUAACCACCAUCCUUCAAAUAAUAUGUAUCUUGGAGGAUACUGGGAAGACCUUGCUUCUAACUCAAAUACUCAAUGUCCUCCCAAGUUCCUAACCCAGUUCGCAAGAUUUCGACCAACUCGUAGUACCUACACCACGUCACCCUAGUUUUGUCACUUUUGUGUUGCUGUUAACCGGAAUUAUAAUGUUGCCGGAUUUUACGGCGAGUUGGUUUCGUACCGAUUGAUCCAGUGGUGCAAGAUCACCGAGAUAACAGGUUACUUUAAUUUGGUCAAAGGACGCACUUGUGAACUCAAGAACUCAAUAUUGCCCAUCUACCGCAUAAACUGUAAUCUUACUGAUCGGGUUACUACUACCUAUGGUGUCCAUUUUUUCUGGGAAUGUCUUGAGUUUGUUUGUUGGUGUUCGGAAGGAGACGACCAGCCAACGUUAGCGUGUUGUCUCAGAUGUCAAAUUGCUGGAAAAUUGUAGGCCUAGUAUAUAGCCUAAGAUUGCUACCUAAUGAGAGCCUUCAUCAGACUUCUACAUUUGCUGCAGUAGGCGACAAUGAAUUAUUCACUACUAGGAGAGGUCAAAAGAAUCGUUAUCCAGGAAUGAGAUUGGGGCUGGGGACGAACGUAAGCGGGAAGAAAUUGCAGAUAUAUUUGAGAAUUCAGCUCCUGAGAGACCCGAGAGGUUUCCCACUUCCGCGGUUGUGCUAAAGAAGAUAUGCCAGGGCGUUUAACCUCUCACGGCGGAGAUCAUUAACAGUUUGGUGGUGACAUUAGGACAAGUGACAACGAGGAAUUAACAUGUUAACUCCACCUAAAAGGGGAUGGGGAAAAGAUAAAGAAACACCACUCCACGAAUCAAGAAUCCAGUUGGGCGGAGAACCAAGAUCUACACCGCCUAAGGAGGUGGUGCCGAAUUUGAACCGAGGGUGGCUCAAGUUGAGAUUGACAGAAGAAGCCAGAGAGGACUGGCAGCCGUCGUUGAGUACAGAAGCAGAAAUAUUGCCAGAGUCCAACAACAGAUUUAUAAGUUUUGUAUUUUUGCUGUACAUACUCUGAUUAUUCUCUCUCCUUCUCUUUCUCUUUCUCUUUAACAUUAUUUUCACUGUACUUUGAAUAUUCUAUCUCUCUGUUUUUACGCUACCCUAUCUACUAUUAUUUCUUAUAGCUAUCAUUACAGAUUUAUAUACAAUUAAUAUAAAUUAAUAGAUCAGUUAAAAUAAACAAAUGCGAUGAAGAAAGUAAUUACGUUCAUAAUGAGUUGUGGAGAAGAAGAAAAUAAGUGUCAGUGAACACAGCAACAACAAAAAAGUUUUCAAAAUGUUAAAACCACGAGACUUGCUAAGUGACAGUAAUGCCAAAGAAAUUGAUCAUCGCAGUUUGUGUUCAACUUGUCAUGAAUACUUCGCUGACCAACAAAGACCUUU
This is a long non-coding RNA of Macrobrachium nipponense, 2634 nucleotides long. RefSeq lists it as uncharacterized. The record is from RefSeq and is a predicted model, not a curated record. The transcript has 3 exons. NCBI's taxonomy places the organism in Eukaryota, Metazoa, Arthropoda, Malacostraca, Decapoda, Palaemonidae.